GCAGAAUAAUAUCCCCUUGUAUGGACAUGCCACAUUUUGCCUGUUCAUCCCAUGAUGGACACUUGAGUUGUUUCCACCUUUCGGCGAUUGUAAAUAAUACUGCUAUGAACACUCGUGUACUCAUAGGUGUUUGAACCCUCAUUGCCAGUUGUUUUGACUAUACGGCUAGGAAUGAAAUUGCUGGGUUAAAUGUUAACUCUAUGGUUAACUUCUUAAGGAACAGCUGGAUUCUUUUCUUUUCUUUCUUUCUUUUUUUAUCUUUUUACCCCUAGCCUGGGAACCUCCAUGUGCCUAGGAUGCAGCUCUAAAAAGACAAAAGACAAAAAUAAAUAAAUAAAUAAAUAAAGCUGGGAAUAGAGCAGUUAGUUGCAUACCCUGGAUUAUGGGGGAGUCUUUGCAAAAACGUGGUAGGUAAAUCGUAGUUCACAUAUGAUUUACAAACUAGCAUUUUGCAAUAACUUUGCAAAUUAUCGCAACGUCCAAGCAGUAGCUCCAAGUUGUCGGGGCUUCUUGCAAACUCUCUGAUUUGUCAGUCUGUACUGGCCACAGGCUGGGUGGAAACUCCUAUUUGAGCUCUCUUUUCCCCUCUAGAGCGAUACUGAGGCUGCCAUCUCCGCCAUGGCUGGAAGGCUUGGCGAAUUCAGGUAUGAGGACGUCAAGAUAAUAGAUGUAGACCAGACCAGACCAGAGGUUCAGGAGGGAAUAAUAACCAGUGUGUGCCCGGGUAUACCCAGUUCAUGCAAUAAGCAGGAGUCACAUGAUCUAAGCAGUCGGCAUCUUUAUUUUUGUCUCCUGUGGUCCUUCCACCUGCCCAAAGGCACCCUUUUGCCCAUGGCAUGGGGUGAACAUUCCGUUAUGCCCCAGGAGCUUCCUAGUCACCGAGAGGUAACAGAAAGUCCUUGUUAUCACCUUAAAUCAAAACGGACAGUUGUAUAAACAAAAAUGCCUAAUGUAUAUGUAGCACAGGAAACUAUAUUCAGUAUCCUGAGGUAAAGCAUAAUGGAAAAGAAUAUAAAAAACACGUAUAUGGAUAUAUACCUGUAUCGCUUUGCCGUACAGCAGAAAUUGAUACAACAUGGUUAAUCAGCUAUCCUUCAAUUGGAAAAAUAGCACAGCUUUGCUUUGGAAAUGUUGUCUACCCCAAAAGAAUUAUGAACACAUCAUUUUUAUUCAUAGGUCUGAGGGUAAAAGUUUCAAAAUGUGGCAUCUAUGAAACCUCACCCUUCAUUCAAUUAGAACACUUUGUGCUUCUGAAAGGCCCUUGGUUGGUGUGUGGGUGUCUGGCCCUCAGGAACCAGAAACCUCCCUUCCAAUCUCACUCUGUCUGUGUUUAGUUGUGACCAGCUCUGGGCCUGGUGCAGGGCCUUCCCACUGGCCAGGCACCUUGCCUUGGGCGGAAGGCAUCAUCUCCAUCUAUUGAGGGAGAUGUUCUUGCCUUGAAAAAAAUUGGGAAUAUGCCCAGGCUGAUCCAGGUUUGGGGUGUGGGGAAGGUUCUGGAAACAGUCUGUUGUAACUACAUAGUAGUUCCCCCCUUUAGAGAGAGCAUGCAUCUCCAGUGUGCCGCAGUCCCCACUACUCCUUAUUGUCUCUCUGACCAUGAAAUUGACUGAGCUGGCCCUCUCUUUUCUCUUAGUAAAGAAAGCCUCCUUGGAACCAUACCUCCAUCAAGUAUAGACCAAAAGGGCUGCCUUGUGAUUUUUGCAAAAUGAGUCUGUGUCCUUUAUCUAUGUAACUUGCUUAGGCUUAUGGGCCGGAGAGUUUGAAACUCUGCCAGGGAGUUGCCAGAGGAGUUUGUCAGGAUUCAUGGUUGCAAACGGCAGAAUCCACUCCAGCUAAUUUAAGAGGGAAAGGGGGGGAAAUGAUUUAUUGAGGGAUAUGAAGCCCUAGGAGGAAGAGCUUGCAGAAAUGAGUCCCUGCACCACAUCUCUAACAAGCCUGCCAGGAGCACUCCCACCAGACCUGGAAGCUUCCCCAAGGCUGCUGGCUUAGAAUCACACUCCCCCUUGCUGCAGAGUGGAAGCCCUGAGCCCCACCUCAUCCCCACCUAACUCACCUCUGAAUCAGAUGUGUCUGGGCCAGGGAAUGUGAAUCCCACCUACCCCUGGCCCUGAGAAAGCAGGGACAUUUGUAAUUGGAGUUGGAAAGUUGGGUUUAUGCCACGGGGAAGCAUCCAAAUGUGAGGAGGGGAUUAGAAGGUUUGAAGCAGCUACAAAUGACUCUUGUCCACUUCAGGCUCUGGGAUAGAGGGUAGCUUUGGGGUCCAGAAGGUUGCCUGGUGGGGACCUAGCCAAGCCACCUGCCUUGCAUCCAGGGGUGGUCUUAGACCAGGAACUUCACACCAACAGGUGUCUCCUAAGUUCCCAAACACAAAGGCUUCUCAAAAGAAAAGCUGCACCCCGAAUCCCUGAAGCCCUAGAGCCUAGAGUAGUCCCUGGCAGGCCAGCUGGCCAGCCUCCUGGUGGCCGUGCCCACCCUCCUGGCCAAGUGCCUUUACUUGGCUUUCAUGUGCCUUCUUCCCAGCCUGGCCCUGCACUGGCCGCCCUGGCUGCCAGUCUGGGCAGCUGGGCAGUCACCCUUUCAGAACCCUUUGUUCUCUGCAUGGAAUUCAGAGGAAGGCUCUGCCAGCUUGGAGCUUGGGCUCGGCUGUUUCCCAGCAGCUGAUAACAGAUGGGAUUAAAAGAUGAAAACCCACGCAGAUGUCCCAGCUCUGCUCCAAAUCAAGAAGCCAGGCGUAUGUGUCCAUGCUCCUAGAGCAUUUGUGCCCACCCCACCCUGCUGAUGGCAGCUGUCUCCGACCUUAGAGCCCUCCCCAGAAGACUUUGUCCUGGGAGGCCCCAUCCCUGGCUCCGAGGGCUGCUGAUUCCCUGUGGGGCAUUUACAGAGCCCUGGGGGCACACAGCCUAGAUGGGGAGUUCCACGCCUGUGUCCCAGCCAGAGUGCCCUUGUCAGUUUUCUUGCAACGUUACCAAGUGCCAGGCCUGUGCUCGUGGCUCAAUGCUCCAGGUCUCACGUAAGCUUCACAAGUCGAGCAAGUAGAUGCCAUGUGAUCCCGGGUUUACAGACCCAGGAAACCAAGCCUCGGGGAAAUUAGGUGACAUGGCCAGGGCCCCUUGGCCUGUGAGUGGCAGUGCUGGGAGUCAGCCCAGAUCUGCUUGGCUUCAAAUCCUCCAGACCCAUGGUUACUGGACUUUCCUACCUGGUUGGCAGGCUCUGCAGUCAUCUCUGCAAGAGAAGCCCCAAAGCAGCAUUUCUGUCUUCCAGAAGGUUCUUUUGACCAGGAAACAUGCAUCAGAGUGAAUAAAUGGCCACCCAGAGCCACCCCAUGCUGGCCAAGCUAGUACCCUGGCACAGGAAGGGGAAUAGCAGGGAAGGCAGUGUGACAGCCAGGCCAGGGCCCAAGAGGCCUCUGCUAGCUUGUGAUGUGGUGUGAGUCAUUUCUCUGUGGGCCUCAUUUUCUCAUCUCACUCGCACCACAAAUAUUUCUGAGCCCUUCUCUAGGUCAGGCACUAGGA
Molecule: long non-coding RNA, 3512 nt
Filed under: Sus scrofa (pig)
Lineage: Eukaryota; Metazoa; Chordata; Mammalia; Artiodactyla; Suidae
Description: lncRNA (ENSSSCG00005016346.1)
Source: RNAcentral